CUGGCAGUCAGAGGCGAUGAAGGACGUGCUAAUCUGCGAUAAGCGCCGGUAAGGUGAUAUGAACCGUUAUAACCGGCGAUUUCCGAAUGGGGAAACCCAGUGUGAUUCGUCACACUAUCAUUAACUGAAUCCAUAGGUUAAUGAGGCGAACCGGGGGAACUGAAACAUCUAAGUACCCCGAGGAAAAGAAAUCAACCGAGAUUCCCCCAGUAGCGGCGAGCGAACGGGGAGGAGCCCAGAGCCUGAAUCAGCAUGUGUGUUAGUGGAAGCGUCUGGAAAGGCGCGCGAUACAGGGUGACAGCCCCGUACACAAAAGCGCAUGUGCUGUGAGCUCGAUGAGUAGGGCGGGACACGUGGUAUCCUGUCUGAAUAUGGGGGGACCAUCCUCCAAGGCUAAAUACUCCUGACUGACCGAUAGUGAACCAGUACCGUGAGGGAAAGGCGAAAAGAACCCCGGCGAGGGGAGUGAAAAAGAACCUGAAACCGUGUACGUACAAGCAGUGGGAGCACA
This 511-nucleotide ribosomal RNA is filed under the name Salmonella enterica subsp. enterica serovar Newport. RNAcentral describes it as "partial 23S ribosomal RNA". It matches the Rfam family "Bacterial large subunit ribosomal RNA", at positions 33 to 583 of the family's 2925-position model. Lineage: Bacteria; Pseudomonadati; Pseudomonadota; Gammaproteobacteria; Enterobacterales; Enterobacteriaceae. The record is from RNAcentral.